Non-coding RNA from Anas platyrhynchos (mallard), 2881 nucleotides. The record is from RefSeq and is a predicted model, not a curated record. NCBI's taxonomy places the organism in Eukaryota, Metazoa, Chordata, Aves, Anseriformes, Anatidae.
GGCUCAUAGCUGGUGAGCAAGUUCCCAACAAAGCCACACGCUGUAGUAUCCUGAAGGUCCCUGGGGUUGACAAGAGAAAGGGCUGAAACCAACUCCACCAGAAUCCAUUCUUGUCAUUCUCUAAUGGCUUAUAGAUCGUGCAAUUUCCAUAAACACUCUUUGAAGGGAAGCUAUGUGGGAUUUUAACAGCUUUUUGAGUUCAUGUGGGUGUCACUUGCUUUGAUGUACGCCAGAAACAAAACAAGAGCAUGGCUGAAGGAAACAAUCAAUGGAUUUUAAGUUGGCUCAGCUGUUACUAUGUCCAAUGGAGGAGGGGAAAAUGCUGUUACUUGGGAGAAUUAACUAACUGAAUUUGGGCUGUGAUUUAUGACUUCUGACACACUUUCUGACAAAGCUGACAUGGCAUACGACUGAGCUGAACUGAUUGAUCCAUUAGUAACCCAGCACUCUUGACCCAGGCAAGAGUUGAUUACAUGAGGAAGAAACUGAGGGGCGGCCAGUGGUUACAGCAGCCACUGACACCCCUUCCAGAGGAUCCUGAGAAGAGGAGAACGUGGUCAUUUACUGGAUAGGUUUGUCAUGUAGCACUCAGUAUGUCCUGCUCCUGUUUAGCUGUUACUGCAGAUGCUGCGAGGUCCCUGCUGUAUCACACACUCUCACUAGGCUCCACACCGCCUGCUUGAAUUUCAGUCACAGAAAUGAUUACUGAUCUGUGCUCCCUGCUGCAGCUGAGAAUUCGGUACUGCCAGGAAAAAUCAGCUCUGUAUUUCAUUUCCAUCCCCAUAUUUCUUUUAACAUCCAUUGCAAGCACCCCAUUCACAGUUUAACCACACCACUGUGCUACUGGCUCCAGAGGAGGCGAGGAGCACAGAGCAGCCUCGUCAUGAACAGGUGGUGGGCAGGGACCCUUACAGGAGAGAAGUGCCCUGCUUUUGGUCUGUUUUGUGACAACAGUGCGGGCAUUGAGGGAGCUGCCGGAGCAGUGCAGGAGAGCUGCGGGGUGAGGCCAGGCACGACACGGCCUGUUCUCCUGAGGGAUGGCACGAAGUCACUGCACAGGCCCAAACCUGCGUGCCCCUGACAUCCAACUUCUUCCUGAAGACAGCAGAAGCCCUGUGAAGAGGCAUGAGAAGUAUUCAUGUAAUAUUUGUAUAAUAUAAAUAUUGGUAUAAUAUUUUGUGAAUAUUAUUAUUUACUUUAAUAUUUGUGAAGCCCCACCUGUAUUUGGAAACCUGCCCGCUGUCCCUUGGGACAAAUGGUGCAGACAACCAGCAGGACCUGCACCCAAGCUGGGAGGUGCUGGUGGAGCUGUCUGGAGGUAUCUAUCUCUGCCUCCAGCCGUUUCCAUAGCAGAACACCCCUGCAGCAGCAAGACCUGCCCGUGGGCUGCCCUUCCUACCCAUGCCCACCAGGAGCUCGCCCCUGCUUCCCUACACCUCCAGGCAUAGCCUGGGCUGCCUGCAGGCAGCAGCAGCGCUCCUCUGGCUGGAGCCUUGCCCUUUUUCAGAGCAGUGGUCCCUGGGACACCUUUAUUCCAGAAAAGGACCCCCAAAACCAUAUGUAUUUUGUACCAGCAACAAAACACUCAUUGGAGCAUAACAGCAUGUUACUGCUGUUGGUCACUGCAGUGAAGUUUAUCUGAUGGACUGCAUCUUGUGUCUGGCCAUCCUGCACUCCCUGGUGGGCUUAGCCCAGGGCUCGCUGCUCCCUGAGGCUCUCCAACACAAAGCAUUAGCAGGGGCUGGAGCCUCAGCAAAGCAUUGACUGGGAGAUGAAUGGGUCUGCGUUAGCUGCUGCGAUGGUACUUUACAUUUUAACAGCUCUGGAGAAACUCUGACAAACAUCCUGCAGAUUAACUGCUCCACUGCAGGUGUUUCCUGCUGCCUCCCUACGUGCAGCAUCGAUCCUGGGUGCCAGCCAUCAUAUGAAAGCACAGAUUUGUGAGACAGCGCGGUGGUGGAUGGAGUCGGGAUGAACUACUGCCAUAGCCUGGAAAUUGAUGUGGAGGUGGGUGGCAUCUGUUAGAGGCUGUAGAAUAGAAACCAAAGCAAUUCUCCUGCACAGAAGUCUCCCAUCCCUUCUAGGCAGCCCUUGAGGAUUGGGCUUUCACCUUCCUUUGCUCCCCGCUCCACAUUCCUUUCCAGGUGGCAACCAGCAGCCCCCAAACCCUGCAUCAAGGUCAGGGAGAGGGAGGAGAUGGGCCAUCACCUACAUGGUGACACUGCACUACAACACUGUUUCUGCUUCCUAGCCAGGCAAGACUCCAAGCCUGUGCUUGAGGAACAGGAAUUCACGUGAGAAAGAAAGAACCCCAUUUGUUGUGCUUCCCCCCUCAAUAAGAGUGAGGUGUGGAGAAGAAAAUACAGCAGUACUGGGGCCUGGGGUGAAUGGAUUCCCCAGCCACGUGCAGUGUGGGGACACCCAUCACCCCUGGACUCUGUCCCUGCUCACAUAAGGGAGGGGAGAAUGAUUUUGGGGUGUCUUGAGAUGAUACAAUUUCAGAAAAUGCAGGAUGAAGGCGCCCUGACACAAAGGUCAUCUAAAACUGAGGCAGAAGCAGCUUGUUUCAGGCAUGGUCCCAUGGCCUCUGUGGCAGUGCUUUCCUUCCUUCUCAUCACUAAAGGCGGACACCAAGCCCCCCUUGGAAGCUAUGAAGGAGCAUAAUUUGAUACAGGUCCCCAAGUGAGCAGCAGCAUAUUUGGCUGAAAUCUACCCGUGUUAAGGCCAGAGGCAAGCGUCUGGAAUUGGUGGGUGAAUGAUCCCAUCUCGUGUGGAAAUUGCAUUGCAUGUCAGCCACUGUGCUCUGCUCUGCUGUAAUGAAAAGUAAUUCGACCAAACAUUUUUGCACGUUAUUCUUCUGUUAGAACGAUCAUCCCGUGCA